Long non-coding RNA from Leptonychotes weddellii (Weddell seal), 3694 nucleotides. RefSeq lists it as uncharacterized. NCBI's taxonomy places the organism in Eukaryota, Metazoa, Chordata, Mammalia, Carnivora, Phocidae. The record is from RefSeq and is a predicted model, not a curated record.
CUCCCAGCCUCCGGAGCUGUGAGAGAAAAAAAUGUCUGUUGUUUUAAGCUCCCCAGUUUGUGGUGCUUUGAUAUGGCAGCCGCACAGGAAACCGGCCCUGAGGGGAAUGUCAAAACCAGUCAUUUCCUCCACCAACGGUGUUCUGUUACAGUUGUGCCUUGUGUCAUGGAGACCCCGGAGAUGCCUACUGGUGGGAAAAUGACUUUGAUGCAAAAUUGCUUCCCCUUGGAGCCAAGAGAAAUUCUCUCUCUCUCCCUGCCCCAAUUCCCUCUUUCUCUCCCCUCCCCCACCCGCCUCCUGGCAUCUUCCAAGUUCACUCGUUGGUAAAAGCGUCCCCGUAAUACUCAUACUUUCUUAAAAAAUAUGUGUUGACAGGGGCUUAUGUUUUUUUCUUUCGUUUUCAGAUGCUGAGGUUUUUAGUGAGCCCUUUCUGGUCAAUACUGCAGGGUUUCCAUCAAAUAGCACUAGAAGUCUUUUCAAAGACCUGCGAGAUCGAAAAGAUCCCAGCCUGUUGAACGGAGAGUAAUUGGUGUCACACACCCGCCUCAUUCUUACAAAUAUCUCCUCUUCCCUUGCGGGCAGGAACCGGGAAAAGGAAGAGGUGCAGGGGGCGUGGGAGUGCAGGGCUGCGCACCCUGAGAAGAGGAACGGGCCUUUUGCACAUUACUCGCAUUACUCGCAUCUGCUGGUUAGCUCCGAGCCCCCUGCGGAGGACAAGGGGCCUGUGAAACCACCCCAGCAGUCCCACGGCCACCUUCGAUGAUAUGUGGAAGGGAAGAGGUUGAGGUAAACGCAACCCAAUUAAUCAAAUAAGGAUUAAGGGCAAGCAAAGACAAAAAUAGUACCUUUACUGAUUUCUGGGAGAUAAUUAAAUCAGACUUACUGCACAGGGAGAGAAAAGAUACGGUAAGUUUAUAAAAGAGAAGACCUUAAGUUCUGCAACAUUAAGUUGAUGCUCUGCAUCAACAAAGCGAAGAAAUCCCCUCCUGGCGGGGUGAUACCGGCACAUUGGGAUAGUCAGUAGCUAUUAAAAAAGAUCGCAAAGAGUAAACAAUAAAAUAUCCAUAGCUAUUUGAGCAUAAUAAACUCUUAUAUUGAAUAGUUGGAUGAGAUGUUCUUUUAACUGGCUGCAUAAAAUACAAAAUUUUCCAACACAGAAAGACAGCUCACUUUUUUUUUUUUUUUUUUGCUGUUAGGAGUUCUCACUUAACAUCCCUGCUGCCAAUUUUAAUUGAUAUUCCACUGAAGGUAUUAAUAAAAUUUUAGAACAUACCACUAGUUAUAUAUAUGUAUAGUAUCUGAAACACACACACACAGUGUCUGAAAAAGAUGUCUUCUCAGCUCUUAUUUUCUUGGAGAGAGCUCAUGGCAACCUUCCUGCCUGAAAGGGCAACUUCCUUUCUCCUCUCUACUCAUUGAUCAACAAAAUGCAUCUACACAUAUAUACUAAUCACCCGGAGUGUAAAUAAUAUAUUUAAUGUGUAUUCUUACUCAGUGUUUAUUUCAUAAAUAACUGUCAUGAUCAGGGUCCUUGGAUUGCAGGCAACAGAUGACUUUGGGCAAUUGAAGAAGGGAAUCUCCUGGAAAUUUACCAGGAACUCAGCAAAUCCUUGGAAAACUGAGAAUCAGACUUGGGUCUAGCAGAGAAGGAAUGAGGAUAAUGUAUUGAAUCAAAGCACAUCUCUUGAUUUAUGGGGUGCCUCAGUAGUGACUUGGAGAUGAACAGAUCAUUAAUCUGAUACUUAUUGAAAAGGUGGAUGGAAAUGCAUAGAGAGAGAGGCAUUGAAAUUACAGCAGGACCACUGGCCUUUUGACGUUUUCAGCAUUACCCUCUAACGUGAGGCUGCUUCUCCCGAUGCAGCAGAGAUUGAAAUGUCACAGCAGCAUGAUCAAUUAGAUGAUGUAGAAGAGAGGCAUUUGCUACCUGACCUUAAUCCACUGGGCAAGAGUAACUGCAUAGAGAAGACUGAAUACGGAGAGACUGCAAGGCAGAGGAAAGCAGCAGAGUAGAGUUUAAACGGGCACAAAGCAGCAUAAAUGUUGACUCGUGAUGAAAAGGACAUCCUCAGGAUAAAGGCUUAUUAUGACGUGCGUUGGUGCACUUACUCAUUCAAUUCUGAGUGAGGACAAAAUAAACAUAAACACCUCUAACAACAACAAAAAAUAUAUGGUAGGAAAGGAAGCAGGUAAGUUUUUGCAGGAAGUCUAGAUUUUGGAUCACGUAGCUUGUGAACCAAAGUGACAGGGAGAAAGAUAGACGCAAACGAUACCCAUGCGGUCAGAUGUUGGCAGUGGGAGACGUGACUAAGGGACCAUGAUAGCUGUCUUCCUCUCUUUAAAGCCCUAUCCUCAGAAGGAGGGAGGGUUAGACACCUUGUGGUGGGAAUGACAGAGAGGAGGGGUGUGGCUUACUGUAAGGAAUGGCUUCCCAAUAUUUGGAACCUGACAAAGGUCGCUGGGGCAGCCCUGCCCAGCUCCCCUGGGGCUGCAUCAAUGGAUAACCGUGGUUGUAGAGGGAUUCUUGCAUUAAAUGAGAUGACUUCAAUCACUCCCUAAUAUGCCUGCUCUGGAGCUUUACACCCCCUUGGAGAGGUCUAAAAUGGUUUUGAAGCUUGUUGAGGAGCAGAACUAAAUGAACUUUGGAGCUGCUUAGGCUUUGAUAGAAUCAGUCCUUCUCGGCCGCUUGUGUGCACAUUGUGGGCCUGGGAAUGGUUGCGAGUCUAUUUUGAUUAUGGGCAGCUGGUGUUAGCUAAGGGUUUUAUCAGAUUAGUCAUCCCUAGUAACAAUGAUAUGAAGCGUUUCCCCCGGAUUAUUAGUGGAGAUCUGUUAUGUUUACUCUUUUAGUUUUAUACUUAUUUUUCUUUUCCAUUUAAGCGCAACUCAAUGUAAAAGGGUUGUGGUUGGGAAUCUGUUUCCCCAAAUAAGCCACUAUUUUUUUCUAGGAUCCAUUUGGUUGUUUCUAUUUGUGGAGUUCCAUUGUGAGACAUCAACUUAUCAUAGCUGUGGAAAACUAGCAGGAGGUUCAGAGGAAAGCCAUGGAAACGAUGAGGACCAGGAAAAUGAAAUGUAAACAUGUAUCCUGGGAAGGUGAGGUUGAGGAUAAUGUUUAUGCCUGUUUGCAUGUCACUUUCCCUAGCACAGCUACUCAAAUACAUAUAUGUUGACUAACUUGUGUGGGGCUUGUGUACAGCUGUGGUCUUCUAGUUUACGAAGGCUAAUGGGGACGAUGUUUUCUAUUGAGACCCGGGUAUGAGCUUCAGGAUGAUCACAUAGUAGGUACUCCAGAUUUAACAGAUAUUCACUGGAUUAAAUUGAAUUCAAUGUUAGUUUCAAUACAGGCAUCCUGCUGAUAGUAAAGAUCAUUAAACUUUAAAAUGUGUUCUCAAGGAACACUGUGGCAUCUUCAUUUGAGAACAUCUUUUAAAUUGGAUAGCUAAUUAUCUGUUUAGAAUAAAAGCAGAGAAAUAGUUCUGAGUACUUCAUAAGGACUCAUACAGUUCUUGAUUUCAUUUGUGUGCUUUGCUUGUGUGUAAGCAAAGCAUUAACUCCAUAACUCAGGGGUGAAAUAACACAUGCAUAAAAGAUGAAUAGGUAGAAAGAAACUCCUUAUUUGAAAUUAUUUUUAUCUAAUCAAAAAGUAUAUAAUAGUCUUAAUUCUGCACUAUCAAAGUUCCUCAUAAAAAAUGAUCACAUA